This 544-nucleotide ribosomal RNA is filed under the name uncultured Flavobacteriia bacterium. Its description in RNAcentral is "bacterial SSU rRNA". It matches the Rfam family "Bacterial small subunit ribosomal RNA", at positions 356 to 895 of the family's 1533-position model. The record is from RNAcentral. Lineage: Bacteria; Pseudomonadati; Bacteroidota; Flavobacteriia.
UAAGAAUAUUGGACAAUGGGAGAAAGUCUGAUCCAGCCAUGCCGCGUGCAGGAUGAAAGCCCUACGGGUUGUAAACUGCUUUUAUACAGGAAGAAACACUCCGACGUGUCGGAGCUUGACGGUACUGUAAGAAUAAGGAUCGGCUAACUCCGUGCCAGCAGCCGCGGUAAUACGGAGGAUCCAAGCGUUAUCCGGAAUCAUUGGGUUUAAAGGGUCCGCAGGCUGUUUUUUAAGUCAGAGGUGAAAUCCUACAGCUCAACUGUAGAACUGCCUUUGAUACUGAAAAACUUGAGUUAUUGUGAAGUGGUUAGAAUGUGUGGUGUAGCGGUGAAAUGCAUAGAUAUCACACAGAAUACCGAUUGCGAAGGCAGAUCACUAACAAUAUACUGACGCUCAUGGACGAAAGCGUGGGGAGCGAACAGGAUUAGAUACCCUGGUAGUCCACGCCGUAAACGAUGGAUACUAGCUGUUCGUCUAACAUUGGUUAGAUGAGUGGCUAAGCGAAAGUGAUAAGUAUCCCACCUGGGAGUACGGUCGCAAGAUA